CAGCAGCCGCGGGAAUACGUAGGGUGCGAGCGUUAAUCGGAAUUACUGGGCGUAAAGCGUGCGCAGGCGGUUCGUUAAGACAGAUGUGAAAUCCCCGGGCUUAACCUGGGAACUGCAUUUGUGACUGGCGAGCUAGAGUAUGGCAGAGGGGGGUAGAAUUCCACGUGUAGCAGUGAAAUGCGUAGAGAUGUGGAGGAAUACCGAUGGCGAAGGCAGCCCCCUGGGCCAAUACUGACGCUCAUGCACGAAAGCGUGGGGAGCAAACAGGAUUAGAUACCCGUGUAGUCCCUGUCUCUUAUAA
This 301-nucleotide ribosomal RNA is filed under the name uncultured bacterium. Its description in RNAcentral is "partial 16S ribosomal RNA". It matches the Rfam family "Bacterial small subunit ribosomal RNA", at positions 509 to 809 of the family's 1533-position model. The record is from RNAcentral.